UUUGAUCCUGGCUCAGGAUGAACGCUGGCGGCGUGCUUAACACAUGCAAGUCGAACGGUGAAGCUGGAGCUUGCUCCAGUGGAUCAGUGGCGAACGGGUGAGUAACACGUGAGUAACCUGCCCUUGACUCUGGGAUAAGCGUUGGAAACGACGUCUAAUACCGGAUACGAGCUUCAGUCGCAUGACUAGGAGCUGGAAAGAAUUUCGGUCAAGGAUGGACUCGCGGCCUAUCAGCUAGUUGGUGAGGUAACGGCCCACCAAGGCGACGACGGGUAGCCGGCCUGAGAGGGUGACCGGCCACACUGGGACUGAGACACGGCCCAGACUCCUACGGGAGGCAGCAGUGGGGAAUAUUGCACAAUGGGCGCAAGCCUGAUGCAGCAACGCCGCGUGAGGGACGACGGCCUUCGGGUUGUAAACCUCUUUUAUUAGGGAAGAAGCGAAAGUGACGGUACCUGCAUAAAAAGCGCCGGCUUAAUUACGUGCCAGCAGCCGCGGUAAUACGUAGGGCGCGAGCGUUAUCCGGAAUUAUUGGGCGUAAAAACCUCGUA
This 551-nucleotide ribosomal RNA is filed under the name uncultured bacterium. RNAcentral's name for it is "bacterial SSU rRNA". It matches the Rfam family "Bacterial small subunit ribosomal RNA", at positions 12 to 573 of the family's 1533-position model. The record is from RNAcentral.